GAAUCCCGGGGCAACCCGGGGGAAGUGGCGAAAGGGGCAGUAAGGCGUGGGUGACCUACCCCGGGGUCCGGGAUAGCCGUCCUAACGGGCGGGUAAUACCGGGCGUCGAGCGCAAGCUUGAAAGGUUUACCGCCCCGGGAGGGGCCCACGUGAUAUUAGCUCGUUGGCGGGGUAACGGCCCACCAAGGCUGAGAUGUCUAGCGGGUGUGAGAGCACGACCCGCGCCACUGGCACUGAGACACUGGCCAGACACCUACGGGUGGCUGCAGUCGAGGAUCUUCGGCAAUGGGCGCAAGCCUGACCGAGCGACGCCGCGUGUGCGACGAAGGCCUUCGGGUUGUAAAGCACUUUGGCGGGGGAGGAAGGGGCGACCUUGACCUAUCCCGAGAACAAGCACGGGCUAAGUUCGUGCCAGCAGCCGCGGUAAGACGAACCGUGCGAACGUUGUUCGGAAUCACUGGGCUUAAAG
Molecule: ribosomal RNA, 469 nt
Filed under: uncultured bacterium
Lineage: Bacteria
Description: bacterial SSU rRNA
Rfam family: Bacterial small subunit ribosomal RNA
Source: RNAcentral